RNAcentral lists this ribosomal RNA (256 nucleotides) under uncultured bacterium. RNAcentral's name for it is "partial 16S ribosomal RNA". It matches the Rfam family "Bacterial small subunit ribosomal RNA", at positions 524 to 776 of the family's 1533-position model. The record is from RNAcentral.
UACGUAGGGUGCGAGCGUUGUCCGGAAUUAUUGGGCGUAAAGAGCUCGUAGGCGGUCUGUCGCGUCUGCUGUGAAAACUCAGGGCUUAACCCUGAGCUUGCAGUGGGUACGGGCAGACUAGAGUGCGGUAGGGGAGACUGGAAUUCCUGGUGUAGCGGUGAAAUGCGCAGAUAUCAGGAGGAACACCGGUGGCGAAGGCGGGUCUCUGGGCAGUAACUGACGCUGGAGGAGCGGAAAGCCGUGGGGAGCGAACAGG